This is a long non-coding RNA of Triticum dicoccoides, 1059 nucleotides long. RefSeq lists it as uncharacterized. NCBI's taxonomy places the organism in Eukaryota, Viridiplantae, Streptophyta, Magnoliopsida, Poales, Poaceae. The transcript is spliced from 4 exons. The record is from RefSeq and is a predicted model, not a curated record.
CACAGGUUGGCUGGUUCUGUUUCGUUUCUGUAUCCCCCUUCCUCUGAUGCUUAUCGAACAAUGGCGGCCUUGGCGACGGCCGACGGAUGGCGGGACUGGAUCCGGUCGACAGGUUCGCUGUCCCAACCAUGUACGGCGGUGUGUUCUGAGUGGCAACCCAGCCGACACUAGAUCUGGUUGAAGCGGACGACAAGUUCAGAAUGGGAGGAGCCGUGGAUGUGUUCGCGCCUCUCCAACUGAAUCUGAACACGCUGUGCGAUAUGAGCAGCUUAUCGCCGCCGGACUCUGAACAGUCCACGAGCAAGGAAGACCCGCAAGCUCCUGGUUGGACAUGGAGACAAAAGCUAUGUGAUGCAGGGUGCUUGUUGGACAGGCUCCUGCGCCAUGUUCGGGUAGAGUUUGUGCCCUUGAGCAGACAAUCAGGGGGUUAGCUGAGAAGAAGACUGACACUGUUGUUGGAAGUUCGUUUGACUCAUUAUUAGGCGAGGUGACUACUAGAAUUUGUACUCCUGGGUAUGUUGGAUGUUAAUUGGUACGGUGAGAGCAAGAGCAAGGUUAACUUUGAAAAGACAAAGUGCAUACAGGGGAUAGUAUGUGGGUGCUCGUUAUGGCCUAACUUCGUUCGGUUAAACAUUGUGUUCGCUCACUAGCUGGAAAAAAAAGUUGUGCUAAAACUUUUUAUCAAAAAAAAGUUGUGCUAAACUGGUUUAUAAUUACUGGGUAAGCCAAAAAGGACCAACACAAGAUCAUGCCAGCGAUGAUUCGUCUACUCAGCUCGGAGGACAACAACUGAUACAUAAGCGAGCACAGGGCCAAGCCAUCGCAGUUCAAGGACGACAAGUUAAAGUUAUGUGUGUUUGCUCGGGAAGCCGAAGAAGUUGAACACUCGAUCUUGCGAUGUGAGUGCCUGGCAGUGAUAAGGCUACUGAUUUACAAUGCGAGUUACUAGUUGUCCGUGCAAUUUGUACAAUUUGAUUUUCUCUUGUAAGCUAGGAUUUUCCUAAACCUGUAUACAUUUUACGUAAACAUGUGUUAGCGGGAAAAUAAACCAAUCAGUGG